Molecule: ribosomal RNA, 253 nt
Filed under: uncultured bacterium
Lineage: Bacteria
Description: partial 16S ribosomal RNA
Rfam family: Bacterial small subunit ribosomal RNA
Source: RNAcentral
UACGGGGGGGGUAAGCGUUGUUCGGAAUUACUGGGCGUAAAGGGCUCGUAGGCGGCCAACUAAGUCAGACGUGAAAUCCCUCAGCUUAACUGGGGAACUGCGUCUGAUACUGGAUGGCUUGGAUUCGGGAGAGGAAUGCGGAAUUCCAGGUGUAGCGGUGAAAUGCGUAGAUAUCGUGGAGAACACCCGUGGCGAAGGCGGGCUUCUGGUUGACAUCUGACGCUGAGGUGCGAAAGCUAGGGGAGCGAACGGG